This 560-nucleotide ribosomal RNA is filed under the name uncultured bacterium. RNAcentral's name for it is "bacterial SSU rRNA". It matches the Rfam family "Bacterial small subunit ribosomal RNA", at positions 231 to 783 of the family's 1533-position model. The record is from RNAcentral.
CCGCGGCGCAUUAGCUAGUUGGUGGGGUAAAGGCUUACCAAGGCAAUGAUGCGUAGCCGAACUGAGAGGUUGAUCGGCCACAUUGGGACUGAGACACGGCCCAAACUCCUACGGGAGGCAGCAGUAGGGAAUCUUCCACAAUGGGCGAAAGCCUGAUGGAGCAACGCCGCGUGGGUGAAGAAGGUCUUCGGAUCGUAAAACCCUGUUGUUAGAGAAGAAAGUGCGUGAGAGUAACUGUUCACGUUUCGACGGUAUCUAACCAGAAAGCCACGGCUAACUACGUGCCAGCAGCCGCGGUAAUACGUAGGUGGCAAGCGUUAUCCGGAUUUAUUGGGCGUAAAGGGAACGCAGGCGGUCUUUUAAGUCUGAUGUGAAAGCCUUCGGCUUAACCGGAGUAGUGCAUUGGAAACUGGGAGACUUGAGUGCAGAAGAGGAGAGUGGAACUCCAUGUGUAGCGGUGAAAUGCGUAGAUAUAUGGAAGAACACCAGUGGCGAAAGCGGCUCUCUGGUCUGUAACUGACGCUGAGGUUCGAAAGCGUGGGUAGCAAACAGGAUUAGAU